Molecule: long non-coding RNA, 678 nt
Organism: Salvelinus fontinalis (brook trout)
Lineage: Eukaryota; Metazoa; Chordata; Actinopteri; Salmoniformes; Salmonidae
Exons: 3
Source: RefSeq, a predicted model, not a curated record
GAGACAUACCAUACAGCUAAAUAUAACUACCAUAGCUAGGUGGUUAGAGAGGAGUCAUACCAUACAGCUAAAUAUAACUACCAUAGCUAGGUGGUUAGAGAGGAGACAUACCAUACAGCUAAAUAUAACUACUAUAGCUAGGUGGUUAGAGAGGAGUCAUAUCAUACAGCUAAAUAUAACUACCAUAGCUAGGUGGUUAGAGAGGAGACAUACCAUACAGCUAAAUAUAACUACCAUAGCUAGGUGGUUAGAGAGGAGUCAUACCAUACAGCUAAAUAUAACUACCAUAGCUAGGUGGUAGGUGGUUAGAGAGGAGUCAUACCAUACAGCUAAAUAUAACUACCAUAGCUAGGUGGUAGGUAGUCAGAGAGGAGACAUACCAUACAGCUAAAUAUAACUACCAUAGCUAGGUGGUUAGAGAGGAGUCAUACCAUACAGCUAAAUAUAACUACCAUAGCUAGGUGGUUAGAGAGGAGACAUACCAUACAGCUAAAUAUAACUACUAUAGCUAGGUGGUUAGAGAGGAGUCAUAUCAUACAGCUAAAUAUAACUACCAUAGCUAGGUGGUUAGAGAGGAGACAUACCAUACAGCUAAAUAUAACUACCAUAGCUAGGUGGUUAGAGAGGAGUCAUACCAUACAGCUAAAUAUAACUACCAUAGCUAGGUGGUUAGAGAGG